GGAACCCGUUGUUAAGAUUUUGGCAGCUCAUCACUGUGACUAGCCCUGUCCCUUUUGAAGUCAUUGAAUCUACGUCGGCUCAGCUGCACUGGACCACCUCAGCUCAAGGAAGUCCCUCGAGGUGAACUCGAAAACCCCUCUCAGGAAUUAACACAAGAACACCUGCACACAGACCCACUGAAAAACUGGAGCUCCACAUGGGAACACAGAUCAGCCUACGCAGAACAUCUGCAAGAUUAUCGUCCGCAGAAGGGGAGAACGCCAGGCUGAUGGUCUAGCAGACAGCACAUGUUUAGCGUACAGAUGCAGG
Molecule: long non-coding RNA, 310 nt
Organism: Mauremys mutica (yellowpond turtle)
Lineage: Eukaryota; Metazoa; Chordata; Testudines; Geoemydidae
Exons: 3
Source: RefSeq, a predicted model, not a curated record